AAGGCCAACCUAGUCUACAAAGCUAGUUCUACAGAGGACAGCUAGGCCUGUUACACAGAGAAACCUUGUCUUGAAAAAAGAAAAAAACUGGGAGGAGAAAUCAGAAUAUCCAAGAGUCUAUCUCCCAUAUAAUCAAUUGAGCUAUCUUACGCAACUAAUCGUCUAGGCCUCAAUUUUAACAUCUUGAGUUCUUUGUCUAGCACUCAACAUCUAGUAAUAAACACCGUGCACUGCCAUGUACUCUGAUUAUCACACAAAUUACCUAGAGUCUACAGCCAAUAAGAACUGAAAAAGUCAAAUCUUGUAAUUGAGGCCUUACUCCUAUGACCAGAAAAGGAGUCAGCAAGACUUCCACCUUCAGAAUCUAACUUAUUUCAAAGCACCAUUUUACAGAUGGUAAUUUCAGAACAGUAUGUAAUUAGAACACAAAACCUUCUCCCCCACAAAAAAAAAAAAAUAAUCCAAUCUUAACUCCACAAUGAUGAGUACUAUCUGGGUAUACUUCAGGAAUUUCCUGAACAAAUAAUAUCAAUCUAUUAUGUAAGUUAAUAUAUCUGAAAUAGUGAAAAUUCUCAAAUAACUAAUAAAAUAUUCUUUAUUAAAAACAAAAAUGUUACCUGCUAUAUACUGGGACAUAUUGUAAGGAUCAGAUGCUAUUGCAAUUGCUGAAAUUGCUAUCAUUUGCACAAGUAUAUGACUUGGCUAAGAGAACUCUGCACUAAAACUCAGAGGAAUGACACACGAAGCCACUCAUCAUUUGAUAAAGGAUUAAAUAAAGCCUUGACUCCAAAUUUUGAACUUUUAGUAUUUCUAAGGAGAGAUUGCAGAGUAACUGCUUGAACCUGACCUGCUUCUCUGAAUACAACUGCGAACAGCAGCUCCAUUAAUAAUAGUACAAAUCAAGGUAAAUUAAAUAAAAAGAAGUCAUGAUAGAGCCUCCAAGAUACUGGCAGAAUCAACCAUAGUAAGCACUAUUCUUUGCUCUUCAUCCCUAAUGAUACCUUAAAUUACCUGAAUGCCAAAUUCAAGGCACAUAAAAGACAUAGAUUUCACUCAGGACAUAUAAACAGCCUAGUCUAAACUGGAAAACAUGCUUUUGAUAAAUUACCUGUACAAUAUUACUCUAUAUAGCUGAAGUCACUCUUGUGCCAAAUCUAAAUAUCACUGCUUUUUUUUUUUCAGUUCAAGUUUAGAAUAUUUUGCAUUUUCUUUUGUGGGGGGUAGGAGUGGUGGUAUUCAAGAUAGGGUUUCUGUGUGUCACAGAGCCCUGGCUGUCCUAGAACUGUAGACCAGGCUAGGCUGCCCUCCACAGAUAUCCACCUGCCUCUAUUUCCUGAGUGCUGAGAUUAAUAAAGGUAUGAGUCACCAUUUUACAUUCUUAAAUUACUCAAAAGAAACACAGUAUUUUGUUUCCCCAUGUGAAAAUUUGCAUGAAAUCUACAUUUAUAUUUCCAUAUUUUCUAAUAUAACAUAGCAAAUUUUACUUAUUUCUGUAUUUUCUACAUGGCCUCUAUCACUUGGAUCUAACCAAAAUAUAAGACAUGUUGACGUAGAAACACUUCCCCCGUGCACUCCAGUGAAACUUUCAUCUGUUUCAUCUAAUCAUCUGGCCUCACUUUCUCUUUUUCCUCAGCAGAUGAAUGGAGUGGGCAUCAAAAGAAACAAAGAAAGUGAAGAAGUCAGGAAAUGAAGUGAAGCCUUUUCCUGACAUUCAUAAUCAAAACUUGGCAAAGAGGAGCUGCCAAUUACUUUUAGCUUCUUCACAUUCCACUGACUUUUCUUGUGAAUCAAAGAAAAACAUGCAUUCUUUAGUCCAUAAUGAGUUUCAAGUGAAUCAUGCCAGUGAGAGUAUUCAUUUAAAACAAAUCAUUCUUUCCACUUGUUUACAGCCUUCUAAAAAGCAACUGGCCAUUACAGGAAAAAUAUUUUUCAAUGUCUCGGUAGCACUAAUAACAUUAUUUGCUAACUCCUAUUAAUUCCAGGUAAUUCUGGAACAGUUGGAUACUUAGCAAUAGAAAAUAAAUUACAAUAAAAAUUCGUAAGUGGUAAGUAUACACGGCAAUGAGGCUAUAUACUAGGAGAAUAAAGAACUACCAUAUAAGUAGUGAAGCAUGGAAAUCAAAACCACUGGACAGCUGCGACGAAAACAAGAGACAAAAGCUGAAAACCAAAUGACUACGAAGAAUGUGAAUUAAGAAAAUAAUUUUUUUGUUUGUUUGUUUGUUUCUCUUUCGAGACAGGGUUUCUCUGUAGCUUUGAAUCCUAUCCUAGAACUUGCUCUGUAGACUAGACUGGCCUUGAACUCACAAAGUUCCACCUAUCCCUGCCUCCCAAGUGCUCGGCCCAGCUAAAAAAAAAGACUUACUAUAUUUUUAUUAGAGGUAAGUAGAAUAAAAACAUGAAGAUUUGAGAAGACAGGAAGAAACACAAUGGCCAAACACUUGAUUAACCUGUGUAUAAACUAGUAAGCACUGCUUAGUAUCUUUCAAAGGGGAAUGUCCCUUUACUUUUAGAAUAUGCCCUAGCUGGUCUUCCACAGGAAACAUGAGUUUACUUCUCAGCAUGCAUGUCAAAUGGCUCACAAAACUGCCUGUUACUGAAUGUCUUCUUCUAGCCUGUCACAGGCACCCACACACAUACAUACAUUACACACACACACACACACACACACACACACACACACACACAGAGCUGAUUAAAUCUAAAUACAAUCAAAGCUAAUAAAGCUAAUGCAUAAAACACAUUUGACAAAGCAGAAUACAUGUCCAUGCCAAAAACAUUAAUAAAAGGAAACCAGGUGAAGAAACCAGCAGGCUUUCAGACUCCAGUUUGAGAACAUGAAUAACCACACCCAGGGAUGAAGAGACGGCUCAGUGGUUAACAGAUUGCUCUUCCAAAGGAUCCAGGCUUGACUCUCAGCACCAACAAACCGGAACACAAUCAACUUUAACACCCAGGGGAAUCCAACACACUCCUUUGGCCUCUACGGGCACCAAGACAUGCUGUAAGUGGUACGCAGACAUACAUUCAGACAGAACACACAUAACUCUGAUUUAAAAAAUAAAAGGAAAAAGAACACCUACUUUCAUCACAUCUGAGUGACACAAUAUGGUCUCCAGACAUAGCAAUCAGGUAAGAAAAAGAUAAAGGGACAUCUGGGGAAUUGGAAAGACUGGGGAGACGGCUCAAUGGUUAAGAAGAGCAUUGGUGGUUCUUUUGGAGCACACACAUGGCAGCUCACAAGUGUCUGUAACUCCAAUUCCGGGGGAUCUGAUACCUUCACACAGACAUACACGCAGGGAAAACACAAACGGGCGAGAAAUUAAGAUAAUUUUUCACACAAAGACACUUGGGGUAAGACGGGAGAUAACAAGCUGCUGGCAUGCGAUAAUGGAAUAAAGAGAGCCAGGGUAGCAAGGAGUGAAUCCAACUCCUUAGAGAGAAAGGGCAUGCAAUAAUGGAAUAAAGAGAGCCAGGGUAGCAAGGAGUGAAUCCAAUUCCUAAGAGAGAAAGGGCAUGCGAUAGUGGAAUAAAGAGAGUCAGGGUAGCAAGGAGUGAAUCCAAUUCCUAAGAGAGAAAGGGCAUGCAAUAAUGGAAUAGAGAGAGCCAGGGUAGCAAGGAGUGAAUCCAAUUCCUAAGAGAGAAAGAACACUGGAAACCACAAGAGGCUUUACAACAGGCGAGAAACAAAGAAAAGGGCUGCCUGGCAAAACAGCAGCAAGUUGUUCUAGUCAAACAAUGGGGUGCUGAUAGGGGUCAUCUAAUCCACAAUGGCGCUGAUUAAAAAGACACUGUAGUGUUGGUCACAGGACAAGCAACUGUACUCAGAAAGCUUAAUUCAACUUGGAGGUUCUGGAAUGACACUGAAUUAUUCUAAGUCAUUCUGGAACUGCAUUCUGGAGAACUACAGUCAGGUUUCAGGAGAAGGAACCUACAUCCGUUUGAGAAUGACCUACUGUGGUGGCUGAAAACAAGGAACAAUCACAGAGACAAUUCUAAGACUACUUUCUCACAUUUGCAAGAAAGUUCUUUAGAAGUCUCAAGUGGACAAGCCAUCAUCUCUUUUAUACAAGACAGAAGUUGUUACACGAAAAAGACCAUUCAACAACACCAACCUCACUCUGGCCAUAGCUGUGUAAUGUGUGUGCAGAACUACUUGCUUUAAAUGCCCACAAGAACAUUUUGAGUUGAACAUGUAUGCACUGGGUAUAAAUAAGAAACAGUGGUUCACAGCAAUAGACCCAGCACUGGAGCAGGGAGGAUAAGAAGGAUAAGAAGCGAAGAUCAUCCUCAACUACAAGGAAUUGAGACGAGCCUGGGCUAUAUAAGACAUUGUCUUUAAAAAAAAAUAAGUAAAUAAAUAAAUCACCAAGAAAUAAAGCCUCUUGGGAGGGAUAAGCACACAACCAAGAAUUCAAGGUAGCCUGGACUAUACAAUCAGGUACAGUAUAUCCGGGCUAUGUAGCUUGAUUCUUUUCAAACAACUACUACUGCUACUACCUCCAUCCCAUACAACAUGUCACCAACUGGAGAAGAUCUACAAGGCUCCGCAAUACAAAGAACUUAAAAUAUUUUUUUCAAACUGGGGCUGUAGACCACUGGUAGAUAUCCUACCUAGCAUGUUAAAGGCCCAGCACUCCAUCCCCAGCAAUGCAAAACCAAAUUUGAAGUAUUUCGUUUUUGAAUGUUUGAUUUCUAUCAACAUAAUGAGAUCUGUGCUACACUGCUCAAAUGAUGCUGACAGGUCCAGAAGACCAACUUCUGAAAUUGCACUGAGAGGCUAAGAUCAGGACAUGCAACACAAGGAAGAUUUUAUCCUGCUCAUGUCACAGAUGUUCAACAUCUAUACACUUCUGUGCUUUUACUUCAAACAAAGACGCCAGCUUCGCUAAGACCUACAUAGGUCUCUCUUCCAUAAAUCAAAUGCAAUUUCUUAAUGCAAGCUCCUACUCAUAUUUGCCACAAUGGAUCUUCAAGAAUGAGUCUAUCUAGUGUGGUACUGUCACUCAUAAAACUUGUUCAUAAAAAUGA
Mesocricetus auratus (golden hamster) is the source of this 5031-nucleotide long non-coding RNA. RefSeq lists it as uncharacterized. Lineage: Eukaryota; Metazoa; Chordata; Mammalia; Rodentia; Cricetidae. The transcript has 2 exons. The record is from RefSeq and is a predicted model, not a curated record.